RNAcentral lists this ribosomal RNA (422 nucleotides) under uncultured archaeon. RNAcentral's name for it is "bacterial SSU rRNA". It matches the Rfam family "Archaeal small subunit ribosomal RNA", at positions 458 to 880 of the family's 1478-position model. The record is from RNAcentral.
UCAGCCGCCGCGGUAAAACCAGCACCUCGAGUGGUCAGGAGGUUUAUUGGGCCUAAAGCAUCCGUAGCCGGUUGUUUAAGUUUUCGGUUAAAUCUAUGCGCUUAACGUAUAGGCUGCCGAAAAUACUGGACAGCUAGGGAGUGGGAGAGGUACACGGUACUCAAUAGGAAGGGAUAAAAUCCUUUGAUCUGUUGAUGACCACCUGUGGCGAAGGCGGUGUACCAGAACACGUUCGACGGUGAGGGAUGAAAGCUGGGGGAGCAAACCGGAUUAGAUACCCGGGUAGUCCCAGCUGUAAACGAUGCAAACUCGGUGAUGCAUUGGCUUGUGGCCAACGCAGUGCCGCAGGGAAGCCGUUAAGUUUGCCGCCUGGGAAGUACGUACGCAAGUAUGAAACUUAAAGGAAUUGGCGGGGGAGCACA